CAUGGGGAGGUGAUUCCUCCCUUCCUUUGGCGUCGGACUCCUUUGAUGGAGCCUUCCCGUGGCUUGUGCCCAUUUCCAUCUCCCUCUUGGCGGAUCCUCCUGACAUCACUUCGAGUGGUUAGGUUCUAAUGAAGUAUCGAGCUCCGAUACCAAUUGAAAGUCGCCUAGAGCGGGGGGUGGAUAGGUGGAAACUGAAAUUUACAAGACUUUAAACACAAUACAAGUCGGGAUUAGCGUUAGAACAAAUGUCAAGUCCGGGAGAGAGGGGAAAACAAAUCAACCAAGAAAAUAAAGUGAAUGACACGGUGAUUUGUUUUACCGAGGUUCGGUUCUAAAGAACCUAGUCCCCAUUGAGGUGAUCACAAAGACCGGGUCUCUUUCAACCAUUUACCUCUCUCAAACGUUCACUUAGACCGAGUGAGCUUUCUCCUUAAUCAAACGGGUCACUUAGACCCUACAAGGACCACCACACACUUGUGUCUCUUGCUUUGAUUACAAGUCACUUAGAGAACAAGAAUGAGGAAGAAGAAAGCCAACCAAGCAACAAGAGCAACAAAGAAACACAAGAACGAUCCUCUCACAAGUCCUAAAGACUAAAAUUGAAUUGGGACUUUGAUCGGAUCGAUGGCUUUGAUUUGUGUCUUGGAGUGUUGUGUUUUGCUCUUGUAUUGAAUGGAGUGUGAUGAAUGCUUGGAUGGUUGGAGUGGAGGUGGUUGUAGGGUAUUUAUAGCCCCCAACCACCAAAACAACCGUUGGGGGUGGCUGCUGUCGAUGGGCGUACCGGACAGUCCGGUGCGCCAGCCACGUCACCCAACCGUUAGGGUUCUGACGCAGCCGACCGUUGGAGCGCUGACUUCUACUAGCACCGGACAGUCUGGUGCCGCACCGGACAGGCACUGUUCACUGUCCGGUGCGCCUCUGACCUCUGCUCUGACUUCUGCCGCGAACUAUAGCUCUGUCAAGGGCACUGUGCAGUCGACCGUUGCACUGGAGAGUCGUUGCUCCGCUGGUGCAUCAGACAGUCUGGUGCGCCUCUGACCUCUGCUCUGACUUCUGCCGCGAACUAUAGCUCUGUCAAGGGCACUGUGCAGUCGACCGUUGCGCUGGAGAGUCGUUGCUCCGCUAGUGCAUCAGACAGUCCGGUGAAUUAUAGCGGAGUGACGCCUGAGAAACCCGAAUGAAGAGUUCGGAGUGGUACGGCCCUAGCACACAGGACAGUCCGGUGGCAUAGCGGACAGUCCGGUGCGCCAGACGAGGGCACACUUCGAUUUCUUUUACUACUUUUUUUGAACCCUAACUUGAUCUUUUUAUUGGUUUGUGUUAAACCUUUAUGCACCUAUAGAAUAUAUAAUCUAGAGCAAGCUAGUUAGUUCAAUUAUUUGUGUUGGUCAUGCAACCACCAAAAUUAUUUAUAGGAAAAGGUUUAAACCAUAUUUCCCUUUCAAGUAUCACAACAAUUUCGGGUGCUACAGCUUUGUGCCCCGUUCUGAUGUAGAUAGGUUGUAAGACAUGCCAUAUCAAAUUUAUGGUGGUGUGAAAGAAUAAGAAAUGGAGAGAGAAGGAAAGCGGGUUGUUCACUAAUAGACAACUAAAAGCGGAGUGCCCAUAGAAUCCAACACAAUUUGUUAGAGGAACAGAUAGUGGCAGACCUAUGUGGGGGCAAGCUUGGGCUCUUGCCCAGGCUCCUUUAUUAGUGCUAAUGAACCUAUACACAUAUAGCAAGAAGUAAAAUACAGUUAAACGUGGAUAAAAAUUAGUUAAAGCUAUAGAUUUACAGUAUAAGCAUUAUUUUUGCCUAGGUUCUCGAAAGUUUCUAGGUUCGUCAGUGAGAACAUAUGUGUAUCAAAUAUUAAAUAUACAAAUUAUAUUAUUGUAUGACUAAGCUUUAAAUUUACACUAUAUAACAUGACAUCGUUAUAAAGCUCGUGUGCUAUAUUACUAUCUUUGCUUUUACCGGACGGAGUUUUUUUUUUGCACGAGCUUCGAGAAUGCUGGUGUCGGUAGUGAAACUGAAGCGGUUCUUCACUUCGCGUGGGACCUUCUAGCACUGCUCGAUACUACUGUUGCUUGCGUAGGGGGGCCACCAUGCCAGCGAACCAGUUUCGUGUCCUUAUUGUUUUAUCGCGUCAAAAGAAUAAGCAUAGCAAUAAGCUCACCGUCCUUUUUAACCGUGGUGCUCGUUUCUGAAAAAAAAAUCAAAUAUAUUCAACACUAAUCAAAUAUAAAAAAAUACAAACAUUUAUAAAACAUAAUAACGUCAUUAGAUAAAUCACUAGAAUCUAUUUGUUAUAAUAAAUUUAUUUAAAGAUAUAAAUAUUAUUAGUAUAUUUUUUUGUAAAUCAAAUAAAUCUUUUGCUCACUGCUAAUAUUAGUCUGACUGAAGAGACAAAAUCAGAACUGCAGCCUUCUUUACAAUAUAUACAAGGCAUGUGUACUGUUCAUUCUUGUUACAAAUCCUCCUCCGAAAUAAUCUUUCGUCUUCUUGGUUGAACCGAUGGCUUAACACUACACACGGUUUUCUUCAUCAUCAGACGCUUGUGCGUGCGUCGGUUGGAAACGGAAACGGAAACGGAGUACAGUAUAUCUUGGGUGUUUGAAGCGAUUGGUGCGCAGUGCACUGCAGUGAUUUUGGACAGUAUCUUGUGCAUCCACAGCCUGACUUUUUGUACAGUGCUGCACCUGCCUGGGCGCCGCGCCGACGGACAAGUCGAGUAGGCAGCACACAAACACAUGCAUGGUCUGUUCCUGCCUGCAGCUGAAGCUGCAUAUCUUGGAUGAUCUGCUUCUUAGGCAGUUGCUUUGCUUUGGGGCCUGUGCAUGCUGUGCAACACAUCACCUGAUCAAAUAACUGUCGUCCAAUCAUGAUGGUCCCAUGUAUCUUCUGAACAGAUAGAUUGUCGUGAAGUUGCGAUGCAGGUUCCUCGUCGCCCCUGGUGUACAAUUAUCGAUCGAGCGAGGUAGGUUGCCAUCCACCCUCCUGACAGGCAAUCAUCGCGCGCGAUUCUGUCCCGUGCUUUAAUUUGCAACUGUUUGGCCGGUUGAUGUUCGGAUUCGUUCUCGACUGUCGUGUUUGUCAGAUUCUGUUUGUGUUCGAUUGUAAUGAUAAGACGAAAUAGAAUGUGACGAUCCCUUAGAUUUAGAUUAAUUACGUUGUUUGAUUCAGGGUCAAUUAAGGUUUCAAACAGUACUAUUCUAGUGUCAUUCUCAGUUGUCUGUUAAAUUUGACGGACAAGAGUGGACUAUCCUAAAGUAAGCUGCAAAGAUACUAACUCCAUCAUGGCAGGUUAGGAGCGAAGCAGGUUGGCAUGUUGGGUGCGUCAUGGUCAUGGUCCGAAAGAUGUCCACCAAAAACCCACACAUCUCCGAUCCCACAACAAAAACAUGCAGCGAAGAAACAGUCCAGGUCCAGAGCCAUCUUGAAGUGAUCAGCGAAAACUUGGACCCUAUAACAAGGAUAAAAUGCAACUAAUAAGGCCCCGUUUAAAAUCCUUUCAAUUAAGUUACAUUGUAAUAAUCAUAAUUUAAGCACAGAUUAAUAUGAUUUCAUGCUGAAUAUCUAUAUAUACGUUAGUUUAGCUAAGAGAAUGUCUGAAAUCAUUUUAUUACUGUUUUGCUAAGUGUUUCUAAAAAAACAAAUUUAAAAUUAAUUUAAGACCAUUUAACUUGCUUAACAAAAAAGUUAGUAGUUUAGUAAUACUCUUAUUUGGCACUAAAAUUUUUUUAGCCACAGAAGAUAAGAAAUGAAUUAAGGACAAAAAUAUUAAACUUUUUUUGUAGUUUAUAUUUUUAGUAAUUAAGUUGCUGCUCUUAAAAUUAUAUAAAAGGUAUAACAAAUAUAAUAUCUAGGCAUUGAUUUUUAUGUAAAAUUAUACAAAUAUAAUUUCAUACGAAGUUAAACGUCACCCUACUCCUAUAAAUAAGGGUACAAUGCCCAUGCAGAGGGUCAUCUUUCUGAUAAUUCACGUGCUCGCACCCUAUUAAAACGCUCUGGCUCCGAAGCUGCUGAAACGAGCGCAUCUUGGACACCAGCACAAAUUUUGAAGGUGCUACCUUUUUGUCACUCCACAAUCGCAUGGAUAAAUUAUAAAAGGUUAGUGUUUACCCUUUAUCUUAUCCCAUGUGUCUCCUACAUCUGCUUGGCCUUCUUCCCUUGAUUCCCCUUCAUCUUUACACAAAUGGGCAAGGGGAAGUGGUUUUGUUACAUCCCAAUUUUUUCUGAAACUAAAAAUCAAUAAUAAUAAUAAUAAUAAUAAUAAUAAUAAUAAUAAUAAUAAUAAUAAUAAUAAUAAAUAACUUUCAAAAUAAACUCGAUUUAAAUUGUCAUAGUACUUUCAGAAAAUAAUAUAUAAAUAAAUAUUUCCCUAACUAGAGCUAAACUAUAUAUAUACAAUCUUGAAGGUAUUUUGUGACGCUUUGGCAAACCAUAAAGUUUACUUACUCGUCUAUUUAAUUAUGCAAUUAUUUUCGGUAAACCAAAUUGUGGAGAAAGAAAAAGAAAUUAGCGAUUAACUGAACUCUAGAAAAAAUAAGUUAUUAAGGGCUAGUUUAGAAACCAUAAUUUUCUAAAUGAUUUUCAUUUUCUAAAGAAAAAUUAGUUUAUUUUCUCUUAGAAAAAUAGGAAUUUAUUGGGAAAAUAGUGAUCACAAACUAACCCUAAGUAAUCGACUUAUUUGGGAGGUUAACCAAAAAAAUACGUUAAAAUUAAUCGAGCUCUACAGUCCACACAUCCUAAUUUGCGGCAAGCCUGCCUCGGCGUGUCGCAUCGCCAAGAUUUUCAACGCAAAAGCUGAACAGCCUGUGUCCCAUAGGGCGUGUUCGGCUGGCUACAAGCCGACACUGUUACAGCUGUUUGGACUGCUGCAGCUGCAAUUCAUAGAGAGAAAAAUACUGUAGAAGCCGCAGCCGCAGCCGGAUUGCAGCCGCAGCAAGCCGCAGCGAACAAGCUGAUAAAUAGCAGCGUGGUCAGCACAAUCGAGCAUGCCAUGGCUACACUGCAGCUCGAGCUUUUCCCCGUGUCUUUACCUGAGUCCGUGCACCUCGCCGUAGUCAAAACUGACACCUCCGCUGCCACCACACCACAUGCGACUAAGGCUAGCUCCAGCAAUACACCCUAAAGGGUUCUGUACCCUAAAUAUAGAGGACCAAAUGGUUCUCUACGCUCUCCAGCAGCGUUCUCUAAACGAUUCUCUAAAUUUAGAGGACACUGCUGGAUUCUCUAUAUAUAGAGUUUCUCUAAACGGUCCUCUAUCCAUUUGAAUACUUUAAAUUAUCGGUUUAGCAAAACUAAAAUAUGUACAAUACAUUUGAGAGCAUGACAAAUACGUAUGUAUAAAAAAUAAAAAUAAAAAAUGUCUCUAAUAUAUAUAUUUGAGUAUAGAGGACGUGAUUUAGAGGACGUUGUUGGAGAGAAAUGAGAUAUAGGGGAUAGAAUCUUUUAGAGAAGACUGUAAAGUACGGAUAUAGAGGAUGGAUAUAGAGGACGUUGCUGGAGACAGCCUUACUGUCCGACAUGAGGUAGCAUCGUUGUUGGGGCUUCUUUCAAAAUUCCUCAAAAACACAUCUAACAAUUGAUUAUUAGCACAUUCUUAGAUAUUGCAGGAGCUACUGUGUUAAAGUGGUUCGGUGCUGAAUACCUUCGAAGCAGAAUAAGAAGGAAGACAUGUUACCUUCAUUAUAACAACACAAGAAAACGAAGGCAGAAGCAAAACAAGGCCAGGAGAAGGUGUUUACAAGAUUCUAGCCAAAACAAAAAACGGCAAAAUACGAUAUUGCCCUUACAUCGUUUGUAGACUGCAUAUAUAGGUUUUAUGGACACGUUUGUAACUUCACACGAAGUUGUACCUCUGCACUAUAAAUAUAUAAACAGUGUCCUGCAUAAAGUACCUUUUUGGAGCCAAGGGGAACAGGUCUGCAUAAUCCUUUCUUCGAAGCACGUUCGGGUUCCUCUCUCGUCAUUAAGCCGAAGGUACUAUUGUAAAUUUGUUUCAUACGGAGAAAGGAAGCCCCGAGUUAUUUAAGAUGAGUUAUCUUAUCUAGCUUCGUUACAACCCUAUAUGUAAUCUUCAUGUUCAUCUUCUGCCAAUCUUAUAAAUUAUGUGUGAUAACCUUCGUACUUAGAGUGUGAUGUCCUGAAGGACAAACGACUCUAGUAUGAAGAAUAAUACCUUUUUAAUACUGUGUUGCCUCGUUUUUUAUUGUGUACAGUAAUUGAAAACGAGUGACCAACAGGCGCCCACCUCCGAUGAACUCAUUCACGACCACAACACCUUCGUCAUGCCGCCAAAGAAGACAACGGUGUCUGGUUCCAUCCUCGCACCCCUGGAUACAAAUCAAGAUGGAAUUCUCCUGAGAGAAGCACGAACCCAAAAAGAAAAGCCGUCGGUCUAACUCCACAAGAUGACAAGUUGGAUCAGGAAAUCAGCAAUCUCGAAGCCAUUCAUCAACAAGUGGAGAAAAGAAAAGAUGCUUCGGCUUUCUGAGUUGCAGAAGAAGAUUGACAAAGAAGCUGAAGAAAUGCAAAACAUUUCGCAUGAUACUGAGCAACAAGGGUAUCACCAACAUCAGAAAAGACCUUCGACAUGGAGGCCCAAACCAUGAGGACAUGUGGUACGAAGCUUUCAAUCACGACAACUUUCCUUAUGAUGAUGCUUCUCCUUUAGCUACAGAGCUGCAGGCAGUACCAUGGACACCUUCAUACAAGCUACCUCAAUUACCCAUGUAUGAUGGUCACUCUGAUCCGAAGCAAUUCCUCAUGAGUUACGAAGCAACAAUAACAUCAUAUGGAGGCAACACGACUGUCAUGGCCAAGUCCUUCGUCAUGGCAGUAAGGAGUGUCGCUCAGACCUGAUAUUCUUCUCUUCGACUAGAGACAAUAACUUCUUGGCAGAAACUAAAGGUAUGUUGAUUACAAGUUUUCAAGGAUUUCAAAUGAAGCCAGUCACAUCUCAGGCUCUCUUCUAGUGCACACAAGAUCACGAAGAGUAUCUGUAAGCUUAUGUCCAAAGGUUUCAACGGCUUCGAGCCCAAGCAUCUACAGUGCCCAAUGAGAUUGUCAUUGAGGCCAUCAUUAAGGGGCUUCGUCCAGGACCAACAACACAAUAUUUUGCUAGAAAACUCCCUCAGACCUUAGAGAAGCGCUUACCGAAAAUGGAUGAAUACAUUAGGGCAGACAAUGAUUUUUGACAAAGGAAAGAAGAGGCCUUCAGAUAUUCAAAAUGACAAGGGGCUUUAGCGGACGAUUUAAUCCAAGGCAUGUCAGGACCAUCCAUAAUCCAAGUCAAAAUGAAGACAAAAACAACCAUACUCAAGGACAGCAAAAUCACUCUCAAUCAACAGGAACUCAGCAGAGUACCUUCAGAGCACCAGCUCCAAGAGGUGGAAGAGGAGGAAGAAGUUUUGGAGGGAGAUUCAACUUCCAACCAAGGAAAUUAUUCUGUCUAUUCCAUGGAGAGGACAGGGGGCAUACAACAAGAACAUGCCAAGUCACAAUCCAAAAGCAAAAGGAAAUCGCCAAAGUUGAAGCCCAACAUAAUCAGCCGAAGUAGGACCUUCAUACCGCUUCGUAUUAUUCCCCAUACAUCCCAGAGUAUGUUCGCAAUCAGCAGCCAGGUCCACAAUCUUCAGCUUCGGUAGCUUCAACAAGUCAUUCUUCGGCCCAAUGGAUCCUACCUCAACCACCCAUGCAAGCACCGCCUUCGCCAUAUAACCAGCAAUAUUGAGGGCAAUUCCAAGUCCAGCCACAGUUUCCCAUACAAGAUAUACUACUAUGUGAUGCAAGGGAGCAAUCUAAAGCUAGAACAGUAAACAACAUUGUACCAAAGUCCAAGCAUAUCUACUAAAGCGCCUGAGGGGCUGGAUUAAGCAUCGAAAAUUGUCCCAAAAAUCUAUUGUAAUUUCUAUUUUCUUUUCUUUAUGUUUGUUUCAAAGAUACUCUAAGAAGGUAUAACCUUCGACACUUUGUAAUAAAUCUGAGGUUACACCAUCGAGUGUAACAAAAACACCUAGUAAAGGUAUAAAAGCUCCAAAGUCAUUCCUAAGGGGAUGCAGAGCUCAAAUGAAACACCUAGUAAAGGUGUAAAAGCUCUAAAGUCGUUCCUAAGGGGGUGUAGAGCUCAAAUGAAACACCUAGUAAAGGUGUAAAAGGUCUGAAGUCAUUCCUAUGGGGAACAUAGAAUAUCUAAACAUCGUGCUACUAAAGUAUCUCAAUUUGAUCUUGUUUAUGAGCAGGAAGCAGUGUUGAAAGGGAAAUGUGCCCUUGGACAAUUUCUAUUAUGUUUUGGUGAUUAAGUGCCCACACAUUUAAAUAAGUUCUUAUGUGCUAAAUAAAGAGAGAAGUGCAAAUCAAAGAGAAGGUAUGUUUCUAGACUUAGUACAUAGUUUUUAAGUACUAAUAUGUUUUAUCUAAAUGCUAGAAACAGUGAGAAGAAAAGAAGAAAAGAAUUGCAAAUGACUUGGCUUGGUGCAGCCAAAGUCCAGCUCGGUCUGGCACACCGGACUGUCCGGUGCGCCUGGCUGGCUUUCGGUGAACAGGCCACUCUCGGGAAAAAUUAGCGGCGUACGGCUAUAAUUCACCGGACUGUCCGGUGGUGCACCGGACUGUCCGGUGAGCCAACGGUCGCCAGCGCAACGGUCGGUCGCGCAAUCCGCAGGCGACGCGUGGCCCGUGCCAACGGUCGGCAGGGGGCACCGGACUGUCCGGUGUGCACUGGACAGUGUCAGGUGCGCCAACUGCCACGAAUCUGCAACGGUCGUCUACGCCAGAAAAGGAAGGAGAUCUGCACCAAACCGUCUACAAUGACUGUCUAGUGGCGCACCGGACUGUUCGGUGCGCCACUCGACAGAAGGCAAGUAUGGCCUUCCUUGUUGGUCUCCAACGGCUCCUAGCUGCCUUGGGGCUAUAAAAGGGACCCCUAGGCGCAUGGAGGAGUCACCCAAGCUUACAAGAAACAUUCUAAGACUCCAAGACUCCAACUUCGCGCAUUUGAUUCUUUGAGAUAGUGACUUGAGCUCCAUUUGAGUUGUGAACUCCGUGGGUUGUGUUUUGAGCCCAAGUUGUGACUUGUGUGUGUGAUUGUGUUGUGAUUUGAGUCUUGUGUGUGUUGCUCUCCCCUCCCUUACUUCUGUGCUUCUUUUGUGAUCAUCAUUGUAAGGGCGAGAGGCUCCAAGUUGUGGAGAUUCCUCGCAAACGGGAAAAAGACUAAGAAACAAAAAACCGUGGUAUUCAAGUUGAUCAUCGGAUCACUUGAAAGGGGUUGAGUGCAACCCUCGUCCAUUGGGACGCCACAACGUGGAAGUAGGCAAGUGUUACUUGGCCGAACCACGGGAUAAAAAUCAUGUGUCUCUUGUGUGCUUUCUCUUUGAUUGUCUGUGUCCACAAGAGCUCGUUUCAAGCUACUUAGCCAUUCUAACUUUAAUAACUAAGUUUUGUGGCUAUUAGUGUUGAAUUUUACAGGAUCACCUAUUCACCCCCCUCUAGGUGCUCUCAAUUGGUAUUAGAGUCGUUCUCUUCAUCUAAGGGACUAAUCGCCCGAAGAGAUGGAUCCUAAGGGAAAGGGGAUGGUGGUCAAUGACAAGGAGAAAGUCCCUCUUCAACGAGCCAAGGGACGACAAGCCCACUGACUCAGGAUCGAGUCACAAGAAGAGGGACAGGAAGAAGAAGAGGCGGAUCAAUAAGAUCAUUUACUACGACAGCGACGCCUCCUCUUCUUCACCAAGAGACGACGAUGACGAUGACUUGUCUAAAAAGAAACCGGUUAAUCAAAACUAUUCAUUUGAUUAUUCUCGUAUUCUGUUCAAUUCCAAUGCUCAUUUGCUUUCAAUUCCUCUUGGUAAACCUCCACACUUUGAUGGAGAAGACUACUCUUUUUGGAGUCACAAAAUGCGUAGUCACUUAUUUUCUCUCCAUCCUAGUAUUUGGGAGAUAGUUGAAAAUGGAAUGCAUUUCGACAGUACGGAUAACCCUGUGUUUAUUAAUGAGCAAAUUCAUAAGAAUGCACAAGCUACCACUGUUUUGCUAGCAUCUUUGUGCAAGGAUGAAUACAACAAGGUGAGCGGCUUGGACAACGCCAAGAAAAUUUGGGAUACCCUCAAGAUAUCACAUGAGGGAAACGACGCCACCAUGAUCACCAAGAUGGAGUUGGUGGAAGGCGAGCUAGGAAGAUUCGCGAUGAUCAGGGGAGAGGAGCCAACACAAACAUACAACAGGCUCAAGACCCUGGUCAACAAAAUUAGAAGCUAUGGAAGCACAAGAUGGACGGACCACGACGUCGUUCGACUAAUGCUAAGGUCAUUUACGGUAAUUGACCCCCAUCUUGUCAACCUUAUUCGUGAGAAUCCCAGGUACACCAAGAUGACGCCCGAGGAGAUUCUUGGGGAGUUUGUGAGCGGGCGCAUGAUGGUGAAAGAGGCUCGAUAUGUGGACGAUGCUCUAAACGGACCACUAACUGUCCACGAGCCUCAAACCAUUGCCCUCAAAGCAACCAGCAGUAGGGAGACGCUACUAAGCAAGGUGGCUCAAGUGGAGGCCGCUGGCCUCAAUGAAGAUGAGAUGGCGCUUAUCAUCAAGCGCUUCAAGACUGCUCUUAAAGGACGCAAGGAGUACCCCAACAAGAACAAAACAAGGGGAAAGCGCUCCUGCUUCAAAUGCGGUAAGACUGGUCACUUUAUAGCAAAUUGUCCCGAUAAUGAUAGUGACCAGGGACAAGAAAAUAGCGGGAAGAAGGAGAAGAAAAAGAGCUACAGGAAGGCAAAGGGCGAGGCACACCUCGGAAAGGAAUGGGACUUGGACUGCUCUUCCUCCGACGACGAAGGACUCGCUGCCUCGGCCUUCAACAAGUCCUCUCUCUUCCCCAACGAACGCCACACUUGCCUCAUGGCCAAGUAGAAGAAGGUAAGUGUUCGAGAUACCCCUAAGUACACUACUUCUAGCGAUGAUGAUUCUAGUGAUGAUGAAGUAGAUUAUACUAAUUUAUUUAAGGGUUUAGAUAGAACUAAAGUAGAUAAAAUCAAUGAGUUAAUUGAUACUUUAAAUGAAAAAGAUAGAUUGCUAGAGAAGCAAGAGGAUAUUUUAUAUGAGGAGCAUGAUAAGUUUGUUAGUGUGCAAAAAUCUCUUGCUUUAGAAACUAAGAGAAAUGAAAUGCUAUCUUCUGAGUUAUCUACUUGCCCUGAAUCUAUCUCUAGUUUAAAGAUUUUGAAUGAUGAUUUAAAUGCUAAGCUAGAGGUAGCUAAUAAAUCUAGUCCAUGUGUAGGACAUGUUGUAAUCUGCAAUAGAUGCAAGGAUUUUGAUAUUGAUGCUUAUGAUGAACAUCUUGCGUCUAUUACCAAAUUAAAUGAUGAGGUGGCAAGUCUUAAUGCUCAACUUAAGACUUGCAAGGUUGAUUUUAAUAAGUUAAAAUUUGCUAGGGUCGCCUACACCGUUGGUAGACACCCCUCAAUUAAGGAUGGACUUGACUUUCGAAAGGAAGCUAAGAACUUAACAAGCAAAGGGCUCCCAUUCCCAACAAGGAGAAAGGAAAGGCCCCUAUGGCUAGUAGUACUCAAAGGAAUCAUGCUUUCAUUUAUAAUGAUAGAAAAUUUUCUAGGAAUGCUCAUUAUAAUAGGAGUUAUGAUGCGUUUAAUUCACAUGAUAUGUUUGCUUCUAGCUCUACUUUUGUGCAUGGUAGAAGUAAGCCUAGGAGAAAUCAUGUUGUGCAUCAUGUGCCUAGGAGAGUAUGUAAUGAACCUUCUACUAUUUACCAUGCUUGCAAUACUUCUUUUGCAAUUUUUUGUAAGAAUGAAAAAGUAGUUGCUAGGAAGUUGGGAUCCAAAUGCAAGGGAGAUAAGACUUGUAUUUGGGUUCCAAAGGCUAUUGUGACUAACCUUGUAGGACCCAACAAGAGUUGGGUACCUAAAACCCAAGUGUAAAUUACUUUGCAGGUUUAUGCAUCCGGGGCUCAAGCUGGAUUAUCGACAGCGGAUGCACAAACCACAUGACGGGGGAGAAGAAGAUGUUCACCUCCUACGUCAAGAACAAGGAUUCCCAGGACUCAAUCAUCUUUGGAGAUGGGAACCAAGGCAAGGUUAAAGGAUUGGGAAAGAUAGUCAUUACAUCCGAGCAUUCUCUUUACAAAUAUCAAUGUGUUCUUAGUUGAAUCGCUUGGGUACAACUUACUGUCUGUGAGUCAAUUAUGUAACAUGGGUUAUAAUUGUCUAUUUACAAAUAUAGAUGUUUCUGUCUUUAGAAGGAGUGAUGGUUCAUUAGCGUUUAAGGGUGUAUUAGACGACAAACUCUACUUAGUUAAUUUUUCGAAAGAGGAGGCCGAUCUAGAUGCAUGCUUAAUAGCUAAGACUAGCAUGGGCUGGCUGUGGCAUCGCCGUCUAGCACAUGUUGGGAUGAAGAAUCUUCAUGAACUUCUAAAGGGAGAACAUGUGUUAGGACUAACCAAUGUCUGCUUCGAGAAAGAUAGACCUUGUGCAGCUUGUCAGGCAGGGAAACAGGUGGGAAGCACUAAUCACAGCAAGAAUGUGAUGACAACAUCAAGACCACUGGAGCUUCUUCACAUGGACCUCUUCGGACCCGUCGCCUACCUUAGCAUCGGGGGAAGUAAGUAUGGUCUUGUAAUUGUAGAUGACUUUUCUCGCUUCACUUGGGUGUUCUUUUUGCAGGAUAAAUCAGAAACCCAAGGGACCCUAAAUCGCUUUCUAAGGAGAGCUCAAAACGAAUUUGAGCUCAAGGUGAAAAGAUAAGAAGCGACAACGGGUCCGAGUUCAAAAAUCUUCAAGUGGAGGAGUAUCUUGAGGAGGAAGGUGUCAAGCAUGAGUUCUCCGCUCCCUACACACCACAACAAAAUGGUGUGGUAGAGAGGAAGAACAUGACGCUUAUCGAUAUGGCGAGGACGAUGCUUGGAGAGUUCAAGAUGCCCGAGCGGUUUUGAUCGGAAGCUGUGAACACAGCUUACCACGCCAUAAACCGGCUCUAUCUGCAUCGUCUCCUCAAGAAGACCUCCUACGAACUCCUUACCGGUAACAAACCCAAUGUCUCUUACUUUCGUGUAUUUGGGAGCAAAUGCUACAUUUUGGUGAAGAAAGGUAGACAUUCCAAAUUUGCUCCCAAAGCUGUAGAAGGGGUUUUACUAGGGUAUGACUCAAAUACAAAGGCGUAUAGAGUCUUCAACAAAUCAUCGGGUUUGGUUGAAGUCUCUAGCGACGUUGUAUUUGAUGAGACUAAUGGCUCUCCAAGAGAGCAAGUUGAUCUUGAUGACAUAGAUGAAGAUGAUGUUCCAACGGCCGCAAUACACACCAUGGCAAUUGAAGAUGUGCGACCACAAGAACAACAAGAGCAAGAUCAACCUUCUUCCUCAACGAUGGUGCAUCCCCCAACUCAAGAUGAUGAACAGGUUCCUCAAGAAGAGGCACGUGAUCAAGGGGGAGCACAAGAAGAACAAGUUAUGGAGGAAGAAGCACCACUGGCCCCUCCAACUCAAGUCCAAGCGACGAUCCAAAGAAAUCACCCCGUCGAUCAGAUUCUGGCUGACAUAAGCAAGGGAGUAACAACUCGCUCACGUUUAGCCAAUUUUUGUGAGCCUUGUUUGUCUCUUCUAUUGAGCCUUUCAUGGUAGAAGAGGCCUUGCAAGAUCCGGACUAGGUGUUGGCCAUGUAGGAAGAGCUCAACAACUUCAAGAAGAACAAAGUUUGGAGCCUGGUACCACGUCCCAAGCAAAAUGUUGUGGGAACCAAGUGGAUGUUCCGCAACAAGCAAGACGAGCACGGGGUGGUGACAAGAAACAAGGCUCGACUUGUGGCAAAAGGUUAUGCCCAAGUCGCAGGUUUGGAUUUCAAGGAGACUUUUGCUCCUGUGGCUAGGCUAGAGUCUAUUAGAAUAUUAUUAGCCUAUGCCACUCACCACUCUUUCAGGUUGUUUCAAAUGGAUGUGAAGAGCGCUUUCCUCAACGGGCCGAUCAAGGAGGAGGUGUAUGUGGAACAACCCCCUGGCUUUGAGGAUGACAGUGAAGCAACUCAAGGAUGGCACCUUCCUCUCCCAAACGAAGUACACACAAGAUCUUCUCAAGUGGUUUGGGAUGAAGGACGCCAAGCCCGCAAAGACACCAAUGGGAACCGACGGACAUGUCGACCUCAACAAAGGAGGUAAGUCCGUUGAUCAAAAGGCAUACCGGUCUAUGAUAGGGUCAUUACUUUAUUUAUGUGCUAGUAGACCGGAUAUUAUGCUUAGUGUAUGCAUGUGUGCUAGAUUUCAAUCCGACCCUAAGGAAUGUCACCUUGUGGCCGUUAAGCGGAUUCUUAGAUAUUUAGUUUCUACGCCCUUGCUUCGGGAUCUGGUAUCCAAAGGGGUCUACCUUUGACUUAAUUGAAUAUUUAGACUCCGAUUAUGCUGGAUGCAACGUUGAUAGGAAGAGUACAUCAGGGGCGUGCCAAUUACUAGGAAGGUCCCUGGUGUCUUGGAGUUCAAAGAAACAAACCUCCAUUGCCAUAUCCACCGUUGAGGCCAAGUAUGUUGCCGUAGGACAGUGUUGCGCGCAACUACUUUGGAUGAGGCAAACCCUCCGGGACUUUGGCUACAAUCUGAGCAAAGUCCCACUCCUAUGUGACAAUGAGAGUGCAAUCCACAUGGCGGAUAAUCCUGUUGAACACAGCCGCACUAAGCACAUAGACAUCCGGCAUCACUUUCUGAGAGACCACUAGCAAAAGGGAGAUAUCGAGGUUUUCCAUAUUAGCACCGAGAACCAGCUAGCCGAUAUCUUUACCAAGCCGUUAGAUGAGAAAACCUUUUGUAGGCUGCGUAGUGAGCUAAAUGUCUUAGAUUCACGUAACUUGGAUUGAUCUAUAACAUACAUGUGUUUUAUGCCUUUGAUCAUGUUACUUAUACAUUAAUGCAAUUUGUUGCUUAUUUAUGGUGCUCAAGUUGUGCAAGGGAUCCCCGAACCUCAAAAGUCCAUGUGUGAAUGAUGCACAUAUUUAGGGAGAGAUGUGCCACAACUUGACCCUCUGAGACUAACCUUUGUGUUUAAGUGUACUAGAUGUAGUCUUAAAGGUGCAUUGAAAGGGAAAAGGUGAACUUGGACCAUGCAAAGACUUCCACUGCACUCCGGUAUUAGUGUACUCACCUCCAAGUUCAUUCUUAUGCUCUUAUUGCCUUUUUGCUCUUAAUUGACAUUUUUUAUGAGGCAAUGGGGUUAAUGGGCCAAAAAUGAUCCUGUUUUGGUGCUUGAUGCCAAAGGGGGAGAAAUUAAGGCCAAAGCAAAUAGAUCAGCUACCACGUGAGAAUUUUGAAAGUAGUAGAGUUAGAAUUUUUUAUUUGUCCAAAAUACUCUUAUUGCAAAAUUUGGUCUCUUGUGGGGGAGAAUUUAUGAUUAUGGGAAAAGGGGGAGUUUUUGGCACUUGAUCAAUUUUCCAUUGGAAUAUCUCUCUGUGCCUAAACAAGUGUGUUUGACUUAGAGAUAGGAAAAUGAUUUUGAUUUGCAAAAACAAACCAAGUGGUGGCAAAGAAUGAUCCAAAUAUGUCAAAAUUUGUACAAACGCAAUUUUGUUCUCAAUUGCAUUGAUGUUGCACUUCUUUUGGUCGCUUUUGGAUGUGUUGGCAUAAAUCACCAAAAAGGGGGAGAUUCAAAGGGAAAUGUGCCCUUGGGCAAUUUCUAUUAUGUUUUGGUAAUUAAGUGUCCAACACAUUUAAAUAAGUUCUUAUGUGCUAAAUAAAGACAGAAGUGCAAAUCAAAGAGAAGGUAUGUUUCUAGACUUAGUACAUAGUUUUUAAGUACUAAUAUGUUUUAUCUAAGUGCUAGAAACAGUGAGAAGAAAAGAAUUGCAAAUGACUUGGCUUGGUGCAGCCAAAGUCCAGCUCGGUCUAGCACACCGGACAGUGUCCGGUGCGCCUGCCUGGUUUUCGGUGAACAGGCCACUCUUAGGAAAAAACAGCGGCGUACGGCUAUAAUUCACCGGACUGUCCGGUGGUGCAUCGGACUGUCCGGUGAGCCAACAGUCGCCAGCGCAACGGCCAGCUGCGCAAUCCGCGGGCGACGCGUGGCCCGCGCCAACGGUCGGCAGGGGGCACCAGACUGUUCGGUGUGCACCGGACAGUGUCCGGUGCGCAACUGCCAUGAAUCAUGCAACAGUAGUCUGCGCUAGAAAGGAAGGAGAUCUGCACCGGACCGUCUACAGUGACUGUCCAGUGGCGCACCGGACUGUCCGGUGGCGCACCGGACUGUCCGAUGCGCCACUCGACAGAAGGCAAGGAUGGCCUUCCUUGUUGGUCUCCAACGGCUCCUAGCUGCCUUGGAGCUAUAAAAGGGACCCCUAGGCGCAUGGAGGAGUCACCCAAGCUUACAAGAAACAUUCUAAGACUCCAAGACUCCAACUUCGCGCAUUUGAUUCUUUGAGAUAGUGACUUGAGCUCCAUUUGAGUUGUGAACUCCGUGGGUUGUGUUUUGAGCUCAAGUUGUGACUUGUGUGCGUGAUUGUGCUGUGAUUUGAGUCUUGUGUGUGUUGCUCUCCCCUCCCUUACUUCUGUGCUUCUUUUGUGAUCAUCAGUGUAAGGGCGAGAGGAUCCAAGUUGUGGAGAUUCCUCGCAAACCGGAGAAAGACUAAGAAAGCAAAAAUCGUGGUAUUCAAGUUGAUCAUCGGAUCACUUGAAAGGGGUUCAGUGCAACCCUCGUCCAUUGGGACGCCACAACGUGGAAGUAGGCAAGUGUUACUUGGCCGAACCACGGGAUAAAAAUCACGUGUCUCUUGUGUGCUUUCUCUUUGAUUGUGUGUGUUCACAAGAGCUCGUUUCAAGCUACUUAGCCAUUCUAACUUUAAUAACUAAGUUUUGUGGCUAUUAGUAUUGAAUUUUACAGGAUCACCUAUUCACCCCCUUAGGUGCUCUCAAGUGUUGCCUAUCGAUGUGAGCUUAAAUGCUGUUAGGUUCGCCAGGCAAAACAAUCUAAUUGCGGUGAUUAUUAUAAUUCAAUGAUGGACAAUAUUGAUGAAGUGACCAACAAGAUAGUGAUAGCUCUAGGAGAAAUAGAGAAGGACAAGAUCAUGGCCGCCAAAGCUUAGAACAAGAAAGUCAAGGCUAAGUCGUUCCAGGUAGGAGACGUGGUAUGGAACACCGUCUUGCCACUAAGGAGCAGAGAUCGGAAGUUUGGAAAGUGGUCACCAAGCUGGGAAGGCCCUUAGACUAGCUCCAACAAGGAGCUCUAAAGGGUCCUGUACCCUAAGUUUAGAGGACGAGGACGUCAUCUACUCCCUCCAGCAACGUCCUCUAAACGGUCCUCUAAAUUUAGAGAACGCUGUUGGAUCCUCUAUAUGUAGAGUUUCUCUAAACGGUUCUCUAUCUAUUUGAAUACUUUAAACAACCGGUUUAAUAAAACUAAAAUAUGUACAAUACAUUUGAGAGUAUGACAAAUACGUAUGUACAAAAAUUAAAAAAUUAAAAAUGUCUUUAAUAUAGGUAUUUAUGUAUAGAGGACGUGAUUUAGAGGACGUUGUUGGAGAGAAAGUAGAUAUAGGAGAUGGAAUCUUUUAGAGAAGACUGUAAAGGACGGAUAUAGAUGAUGUAUAUAGAGGACGUUGCUGGAGACAGUCUUACAAAAUCACACAGGUCGAUUGAAGAACCAACAAUCGAUCAAUCAAUCAAAUUACCUUCUGUUCUUUACAUUUGCCCUAGGAGUAGACAGUAACUUAGAUUCUUCUCUCUAUCUUCACCUCUUUCCCGCUCUAUGUCGUUUAGAGGUGUCUUGGGUGGCUUGCCGAUCCCAAGACACAUCCUAGAAUCUUUCCUCCCCGAUGGAGUCCCUUCCGGGAGCGUUAUCUAGACGCCGUCGGCGAACUCCACCGGCCCUACGCACGCGCGAACCGUCCGACCAUCAGGCGCGCAUCGUCCGGCUCGUUAGGCAGGAACCAUAGCCUCUGCGCUAGGUCGUGGACCGUCCGGUCCCUGGCGGCGUACCAUCAUCGCUUUCACAGAAAGCAUCGCCGACGGUUCUCAUCGCAGUGAUUGGCGUCCGGAUUGGCGCCAAAAGUGAGUUACCAGAAAAGACGCCAAUUAGUAUUAGGAGGGCAAAUCUGCAUUAACACAAAGAACAUCGAGUUAAUUAUUGCAUAGAGAUAGGUUUUGAUACUAGGUGUUAGAAAUCUUUGAUUUGGACAUAAUUUUAGGUUCAUACAUAUUAGCUCACCCAUAAAAAGUAGUUGUUAGGUUCAAGAUUCUAAAACAUUUCUAGAAGAUGUAUACCGAAGAAAGUCCCGUAUUACCCCCCUCUCCCUGUCACCGUCAGCGCGAGUGUCAUCCUUCCUUUGUCAUAGAUAACAAGCAUGGUCCCUCAUGUACCACCUGUCAGUGAAUGCGGAAGUGACCUAACUUCACUAAGAAAAAUCAGGUCACCAUUUUCCAUCCAGCUAUGAGCCUAGUGCAGACUUCCAGCCAGAUGGAUAUACUCACGAGGAGGAAAAAGCUGUUCCUCCUUGCAUGUGUGUGGAUUUGUUUCCAUCCAAUUCUGAUGUGACCCGUCUGGCUAUCGACUUAAGAGAUUUAGCUAUUCAUAUGUGUGGAUUAUAUAUAGGUUUAAUAGUUACUACUUCAAUUAAAGUAUUUCCAGUCCUAAAGGAAAGAAUCUCUAAGCAUCUGAAAAAAAAUAAAACUCUGAGCCGUCCAAUUCCCUUCAAUUCCUAUCUAACCAAACAAGCCCUUAGUUGAUUUUUUUUUGUUUUUAGAAAUAACAAAGCAUGGUUGAUUAAUGGAAGAAAUUAGCACAAAAUAUCGCUUUCAUGGUCAAGUUUUCCUUAUCCCGCAGGGGCAGGGCACUGGGAAGGUGCCUGGAAGCAGCCCUCAUAUGCUAGCUGGAGCUGAAACCCUAUCUAUAAAGAAGGCUGAAGGCUCCACACAUACAACUCCGUAGAGCUCCCUGCUUUGUUCAGACUUCAGAGCCCUUCCUCUUGUGUCCGUGCAAAUUGGUGAUACUUGAACAGGGAUCUCCUCCAUAUUAGUGAGCAGGAUGUAUAAUCCUCCCAGUGGGCAGGACAUGUCCUACUACGAUCAUGUGCAGAAGCGCCAUGAGGAGAAGGGCUGCCUAUAUGCAUGGUAUGGUACUCGCUAACCUUUCUGUUGUUUCUGUUCUUCUCGAUUACACCCAUCUCUGUUAUACAUGUGUGUGUGGUUUUGUUAACAUAGUUUCCACCAUGAUACCCGUGAUGAAAACUAAGAACACUUUGAACUCUGAAACUUGUCUUCAUUCAUUUCUUUGGGAAACAAAAGAAGGAGGAAUCUUGUAUUGAGACUUGAUGUUAAAAGCUUAUCCGGAGUUCAGUUUCAGAAUAUUGGUUGGUUUAGUUGGAUAGAAAGAAGUGUGGAGAAUAAUUCACAAGUAUACUCCUGGCCACACGGGUUCGAAACAGCCUCUCCGCGUUGUUUGCAGAGAAAGCCUUACUUUGGUUUCUGUGUCACAAGAUCAGCCUAACAUGAACGAGAAUACCUUGGAAAGACCAAACUAGGAAGUCAUAUGCAACAUACACCUUCAUACAAACCAAUUAUUUGGAGGUCUCGUCUUCUACUUUGAAAUUGAGUUAGGAAUACCAGCCUAGGUAUAUUAGUAAAUAUUACUCAGCAGCAACUUUUGAAAAGCGGUUUGAGUUUUCAAAAGAGAAAACCAUGUACAGUUUGAGGUUUCCAGAAAAAAAUUGAGUAAACAUGAACUGGGAAGAUAUCCCUCCCAUAUGGAAAUUAAGGGAACAUGCAGUUCUGAGUUCUCCUAAGAAAACCUCCUAAAGUAUUCUUCGUGCUCGCUUUCCUCUUGGACCAUGUGAUGUGAGUGAGUUCACGGCAUUGCUAGUUUUCCUCUUCUUUAUUAGUCUUUAUUUCGGCACGUCCAUUCACCCUUUUUCUUUAGCAUCUGGCCAGCCAAACAGAGCAAGGGUCCAUGGCUAUCGUUUUCAAGGUCCCCUACUGGGCUAUAAAUCCACGACAGCGAGGCUGUGGUGCCUUUGGCUCAUGUGAAUGAUCAAACGGGAAAUGUCAAUUUGGUUGUUGCUAGUUGCUGGUCCUUUUCAUGUGACAUCUGCCUUCGUCUAGAUGCGAUGUUUGUCCUUGGUUCACAUCGCUUCUGUUGGAACAAUUAUCCUCUCGACCUUGAGCUUCAGCUAAUGAUUUAGGUCUGAGUUCAGAUUUUGAGUAGGCUGUUGGCUAAUCAAGCUUCAGUUAACAAAGGAAGCUUUUUUUCCCCCUCUCUUUUCAGCCUGUUCACUGCGUGCUGCUGCUUCUGCUGCUUCGAGACCUGUGAGUGCUGCCUCGAGGCUAUCUGCUGCUGCUGCUAGUUCUGCUUGGAGGGCAUGGGCGUCCAUCAUCGUGGAGAUGUGGCCAUGCGGGACACCCACCGCCGAAUAAAAUGCUGUACUUAUAUGCACGCACGUUAGAAAUGCAUUAGUGUCUGUUUGAUGUGAUCUUUUGUGUGUGUGUGCGCGCAUCUUCAUUUGCACUGGAAAAUGCUUUAUUAUUUGUGAAGGUCUGUAAAUCUGUUGUAUGUAUCUUGGUCAGAUGAACUCUAUUAUUGUGCCAUAUAUCUCGCUUGAUUGGACAAAUCCUUUCGAAGUUUCCUCUUGUCCUUGCUUACCGAUGGCAGGGUUAGAAGGAGAGAGUUCGAAAAACAAAAGUAUUUGUGACUGUUUAUUUUUCGGAUGCGUGAAAGCUGCAGUAACUUUAUGUUGGAAUGCAAUUCCUGCUGUCACCAGCCAUACGCAAACU
Molecule: long non-coding RNA, 20707 nt
Filed under: Zea mays
Lineage: Eukaryota; Viridiplantae; Streptophyta; Magnoliopsida; Poales; Poaceae
Description: long non-coding RNA (ZMAY_LNC004908)
Source: RNAcentral